GGUCUUAUUGUGUCCUUCCGAGAACGUUAUCUCCAUUAAACACUAUAUCGAUAUUUCUUUCUUUAUUAAAAACCUUGAUUUCGUAAAAAGAUAAAGGUUAGGACAAACUGAUUCAAACACAUUUGUUUACAGUCUAGUAAUCUUAUACUGUAUCUUGUAAAAGUGUUGCAUUGCUUGUUAUAUGUUGCAAAAGCUUUAUGUUUCAUGCAUAUAGAUAAUGUUAUCUGAUCAUAUAUAGGAUAUCU
This 245-nucleotide long non-coding RNA is filed under the name Mytilus galloprovincialis (Mediterranean mussel). The record is from RNAcentral. Lineage: Eukaryota; Metazoa; Mollusca; Bivalvia; Mytilida; Mytilidae.